This 71-nucleotide transfer RNA is filed under the name Phycisphaerae bacterium. Its description in RNAcentral is "tRNA-Gln". It matches the Rfam family "tRNA". Rfam says of the family: Transfer RNA (tRNA) molecules are approximately 80 nucleotides in length. Their secondary structure includes four short double-helical elements and three loops (D, anti-codon, and T loops). The record is from RNAcentral. Lineage: Bacteria; Pseudomonadati; Planctomycetota; Phycisphaerae.
UGGGGAUUGGUGUAACGGUAGCACGACUGGCUCUGAACCAGUUAGUCAUGGUUCGAAUCCAUGAUCCCCAA